Molecule: non-coding RNA, 26 nt
Filed under: Cricetulus griseus (Chinese hamster)
Lineage: Eukaryota; Metazoa; Chordata; Mammalia; Rodentia; Cricetidae
Source: RNAcentral
AAAAUAAGGACAACAGGUGAACCCAG